UACGAAGGGGGCGAGCGUUGUUCGGAAUUACUGGGCGUAAAGGGCGCGUAGGCGGCGAGUUUUGUCAGGCGUGAAAGCCCCGGGCUCAACCUGGGAACUGCGCUUGAAACGGGCUUGCUGGAGACCGGGAGAGGAGAGUGGAAUUCCCAGUGUAGAGGUGAAAUUCGUAGAUAUUGGGAAGAACACCGGUGGCGAAGGCAGCUCUCUGGGCCGGAUCUGACGCUGAGGCGCGAAAGCGUGGGGAGCGAACAGG
This 253-nucleotide ribosomal RNA is filed under the name uncultured bacterium. Its description in RNAcentral is "partial 16S ribosomal RNA". It matches the Rfam family "Bacterial small subunit ribosomal RNA", at positions 524 to 776 of the family's 1533-position model. The record is from RNAcentral.